RNAcentral lists this small nucleolar RNA (138 nucleotides) under Ornithorhynchus anatinus (platypus). Lineage: Eukaryota; Metazoa; Chordata; Mammalia; Monotremata; Ornithorhynchidae. The record is from RNAcentral.
UCCCUCUCUGGGUCAUACCUGGAGAGUUUCCAGUACUUUACCAGUCUUGGCUAUGGGAGGGCGAAUCAAGCUGAGGCCUACCCGUUCCAUUCCUAGCUUGGACAGUGGCUAACGAGUGGAAGGCCAUCUGCUACAAGU